GACAGCCAGGAUGUUGGCUUAGAAGCAGCCAUCAUUUAAAGAAAGCGUAAUAGCUCACUGGUCGAGUCGGCCUGCGCGGAAGAUGUAACGGGGCUAAACCAUGCACCGAAGCUGCGGCAGCGACGCUUAUGCGUUGUUGGGUAGGGGAGCGUUCUGUAAGCCUGUGAAGGUGUGCUGUGAGGCAUGCUGGAGGUAUCAGAAGUGCGAAUGCUGACAUAAGUAACGAUAAAGCGGGUGAAAAGCCCGCUCGCCGGAAGACCAAGGGUUCCUGUCCAACGUUAAUCGGGGCAGGGUGAGUCGACCCCUAAGGCGAGGCCGAAAGGCGUAGUCGAUGGGAAACAGGUUAAUAUUCCUGUACUUGGUGUUACUGCGAAGGGGGGACGGAGAAGGCUAUGUUGGCCGGGCGACGGUUGUCCCGGUUUAAGCGUGUAGGCUGGUUUUCCAGGCAAAUCCGGAAAAUCAAGGCUGAGGCGUGAUGACGAGGCACUACGGUGCUGAAGCAACAAAUGCCCUGCUUCCAGGAAAAGCCUCUAAGCAUCAGGUAACAUCAAAUCGUACCCCAAACCGACACAGGUGGUCAGGUAGAGAAUACCAAGGCGCUUGAGAGAACUCGGGUGAAGGAACUAGGCAAAAUGGUGCCGUAACUUCGGGAGAAGGCACGCUGAUAUGUAGGUGAAGUCCCUUGCGGAUGGAGCUGAAAUCAGUCGAAGAUACCAGCUGGCUGCAACUGUUUAUUAAAAACACAGCACUGUGCAAACACGAAAGUGGACGUAUACGGUGUGACGCCUGCCCGGUGCCGGAAGGUUAAUUGAUGGGGUCAGCGCAAGCGAAGCUCUUGAUCGAAGCCCCGGUAAACGGCGGCCGUAACUAUAACGGUCCUAAGGUAGCGAAAUUCCUUGUCGGGUAAGUUCCGACCUGCACGAAUGGCGUAAUGAUGGCCAGGCUGUCUCCACCCGAGACUCAGUGAAAUUGAACUCGCUGUGAAGAUGCAGUGUACCCGCGGCAAGACGGAAAGACCCCGUGAACCUUUACUAUAGCUUGACACUGAACAUUGAGCCUUGAUGUGUAGGAUAGGUGGGAGGCUUUGAAGUGUGGACGCCAGUCUGCAUGGAGCCGACCUUGAAAUACCACCCUUUAAUGUUUGAUGUUCUAACGUGGACCCGUGAUCCGGGUUGCGGACAGUGUCUGGUGGGUAGUUUGACUGGGGCGGUCUCCUCCUAAAGAGUAACGGAGGAGCACGAAGGUUGGCUAAUCCUGGUCGGACAUCAGGAGGUUAGUGCAAUGGCAUAAGCCAGCUUGACUGCGAGCGUGACGGCGCGAGCAGGUGCGAAAGCAGGUCAUAGUGAUCCGGUGGUUCUGAAUGGAAGGGCCAUCGCUCAACGGAUAAAAGGUACUCCGGGGAUAACAGGCUGAUACCGCCCAAGAGUUCAUAUCGACGGCGGUGUUUGGCACCUCGAUGUCGGCUCAUCACAUCCUGGGGCUGAAGUAGGUCCCAAGGGUAUGGCUGUUCGCCAUUUAAAGUGGUACGCGAGCUGGGUUUAGAACGUCGUGAGACAGUUCGGUCCCUAUCUGCCGUGGGCGCUGGAGAACUGAGGGGGGCUGCUCCUAGUACGAGAGGACCGGAGUGGACGCAUCACUGGUGUUCGGGUUGUCAUGCCAAUGGCACUGCCCGGUAGCUAAAUGCGGAAGAGAUAAGUGCUGAAAGCAUCUAAGCACGAAACUUGCC
RNAcentral lists this ribosomal RNA (1726 nucleotides) under Escherichia coli. Its description in RNAcentral is "partial 23S ribosomal RNA". It matches the Rfam family "Bacterial large subunit ribosomal RNA", at positions 1088 to 2798 of the family's 2925-position model. Lineage: Bacteria; Pseudomonadati; Pseudomonadota; Gammaproteobacteria; Enterobacterales; Enterobacteriaceae. The record is from RNAcentral.